UUUGAGGGAGACCUGCCCACUCAAGUUACCGAGAACAAGUAAAAGUUGUAAAUCGGUAAUGAGUUGGUCAUCCCAGGUCGGUCGUAGGAUAGUAUAUAUAUGCUUUCAAACUAUUAGAAUGGUUCGGUAAUUAUAAAAAUUAAAAAAAUUAACCGGAUAAGUUAARAUUCAGCAACUUAGCUUGAUGUUAGUAGCUAAGACUGCUGGAUUUAAUUCCAGUCAGAACCUUGAAAACUGCAUAGAGAAGCGAAUUGUAGGUAGUAAGUAAGAGUUAAGAGGGAUGAAAAAGACCAAUUAGCAAUUACGAGUACAGACAGGGAUGUGGAGAGU
RNAcentral lists this unclassified non-coding RNA (330 nucleotides) under Nostochopsis sp. HA4207-MV1. RNAcentral's name for it is "16S-23S ribosomal RNA intergenic spacer". The record is from RNAcentral. Lineage: Bacteria; Bacillati; Cyanobacteriota; Cyanophyceae; Nostocales; Hapalosiphonaceae.